This 449-nucleotide long non-coding RNA is filed under the name Mytilus galloprovincialis (Mediterranean mussel). The record is from RNAcentral. Lineage: Eukaryota; Metazoa; Mollusca; Bivalvia; Mytilida; Mytilidae.
UUUUUAUGCCCCACCUACGAUAGUAGAGGGGCGUUAUGUUUUCUGGUCUGUGCCUCCGUCCGUCCGUCCGUCCGUCCGUCCGUCUGUGCGUCCGUUCGUUUUUCCGGUUAAAGUUUUUGGUCGAGGUAGUUUUUGAUGAAGCUGAAGUCCAAUCAACUUGAAACUUAAUACACAUGUUCCUCAUGAUAUGAUCUUUCUAAUUUUAAUGCCAAAUUAUAGUUUUGACCCCAAUUUCAUGGUCCACUGAACAUAGAAAAUGAUAGUGCAAAGUUCAGGUUAAAGUGUUUGGUCAAGGUAGUUUUUGAUGAAGUUAAAGUUACAUCAACUUGAAACUUAGAACACAUGUUCCCUAUGAUAUGAUCUUUCUAAUUUUAAUUCCAAAUUAAAGUUUUGACCCCAAUUUCACGGUCCACUGAACAUAGAAAAUGAUAGUGGGAGUGGGGCAUCCG